UAUAAAAUGGGUAAGUCUAAGUAUCGUUUCCCAAAGGACUCUUAGGCCUUAACUUUCGUGUAACCUAAUUGCGUAAGACUUAAGAAGAAAUUGAUUUUAAGUUUUUAAAUGCAAAAACAAAAGUAAACAUGCAAAUGCAGUGAAUCAAUGGUUGAGGAAAAACUAUGGAUGAAUGGUGUUGUUGGGGUUUACAAUUUCAUCUUAUCCACCCUCAUAUAUCUACUCUUCUUAUUUAAUUCGCUUAUUUAUCAUAUUACCAUGCAAACUUUCUUGGUCUACCCUUAACCGAAUCCCUUGGCGGAAAGAGCCUAUUACUAAUUAUUGGCUUGCUAUCUUUAGCCUCCCCUAGUAACUAAUAAUGCAUAAUAUACGGAAGCAAAAUACAAUUGAUCGUCCUACCCCUAUCUCUAGGCGGUAUUAGCAUAAUCAAGGAAUUCCC
This 439-nucleotide long non-coding RNA is filed under the name Vigna radiata. RNAcentral describes it as "long non-coding RNA (VRAD_LNC004655)". The record is from RNAcentral. Lineage: Eukaryota; Viridiplantae; Streptophyta; Magnoliopsida; Fabales; Fabaceae.